RNAcentral lists this transfer RNA (78 nucleotides) under Podarcis lilfordi (Lilford's wall lizard). Its description in RNAcentral is "tRNA.Ile". Lineage: Eukaryota; Metazoa; Chordata; Lepidosauria; Squamata; Lacertidae. The record is from RNAcentral.
AGUUUUCUAGCUCAGUUGGUUAGAGCAUGGUGCUGAUAACAGCAAGGUCACAGGUUUGAUCCCCAUAUGGGAAAGCUA